This 324-nucleotide ribosomal RNA is filed under the name uncultured eukaryote. RNAcentral's name for it is "partial 18S ribosomal RNA". It matches the Rfam family "Eukaryotic small subunit ribosomal RNA", at positions 1470 to 1796 of the family's 1831-position model. The record is from RNAcentral.
CCCUUAGAUGCUCUGGGCCGCACGCGCGCUACACUGGUCGAUGCUACGAGUUUCUUUCCUUGGCCGACAGGCCUGGGCAAUCUUUGAACAUCGAUCGUGAUCGGGAUAGAUUCUUGUAAUUUUUGAUCUUAAACGAGGAAUUCCUAGUAAACGCAAGUCAUCAGCUUGCAUUGAUUACGUCCCUGCCCUUUGUACACACCGCCCGUCGCACCUACCGAUUGAAUGGUCCGGUGAAAUCUCCGGACUGGCGUGAGUCGGAGCAAUCUGACAAACACCGGAAAGUUGAUUAAACCUUACCAUUUAGAGGAAGGUGAAGUCGUAACA